AUUAUUGAUCUUAAACGAGGAAUUCCUUGUAGGCGCAGGUCAUCAGCCUGCGCCGAAUACGUCCCUGCCCUUUGUACACACCGCCCGUCGCUCCUACCGAUUGAAUGGUCCGAUGAAAUGUCCGGAUCGCGGUUAUUGUGAUGGACUAGUCCAGAGCGGUAGCUGUGAGAAGCUCAUUAAAUCUUAUCAUUUAGAGGAAGGAGAAGUCGUAACAAGGUUUCCGUAGGUGAACCUGCGGAAGGAUCAUU
This 248-nucleotide ribosomal RNA is filed under the name Porphyra sp. Ogatsu. RNAcentral describes it as "partial small subunit ribosomal RNA". It matches the Rfam family "Eukaryotic small subunit ribosomal RNA", at positions 1589 to 1830 of the family's 1831-position model. Lineage: Eukaryota; Rhodophyta; Bangiophyceae; Bangiales; Bangiaceae. The record is from RNAcentral.